This 2727-nucleotide long non-coding RNA is filed under the name Canis lupus familiaris (dog). RNAcentral's name for it is "lncRNA (ENSCAFG00845028831.1)". The record is from RNAcentral. Lineage: Eukaryota; Metazoa; Chordata; Mammalia; Carnivora; Canidae.
GAGGGAGAAGCAGGCCCCAUGCAGGGAGGCCAAUGCAGAACUCUAUCCGGGAACUCCAGGAUCACGCCCUGAGCCAAAGGCAGGCGCUAAACCGCUGGGCCACCCAGGGGUCCUCUCUAAUUUCUAAUUAUAUAGUGAUACUCAUUUUACUUAUUUUGAAAUCUAUUAUAGAUGAUAUUAUAUUUUACUGCAAGCUCUAGACAUUUUAUACAAAAAUUUUAUAUUUUUAAGAUUAUUAAAUAUCUGCCUUAUAUUUAGAAAUAAAAAGAAAGAAUGUAAUUGAGAUUAUUAGAGAAAUAAGCUAUAUGUGGGUUAGAGUAUCUAUUUGUAUUGUUUUAAAAUGAUAACUACACAUUCAUUUUUUGGGAAACAGAUUUAGGAAGGAUUUGAACAGAAACUGUGAGUACAAUUGAAAAGGAUUUGUUGGUUUAAGUUCUUACAAUACCACUGAAAUGGUACAUUAUAUUGUCACUAAUAAUUUUGGAUUUAUUACUUAAACUUUCACACUUUGAAGAUAAGAACAUUGAGGACCAGAGUGAAACCCAGAAUAGAUGAGUAACUUAUCCAUUGUCAUAUAGUUAGAUUAUUAUCUAUUUUAAUGACAGAAAAAACAUAAAGACAUAUAAAAUACAUACACUGCUAUGAAAUAUAUUUCCAAAUCAUAUCUGCAUUACUUUUAGUUAUUGUUCUUAGGGAGAAUCUGUUCUUCCAGUCCUCCCCAUUUAUGUGGAUAAUUAAGAUUCCAUGGUGAUCAGAGGAGAUCAGAUAAUGCAUAAAUGUCAAAUAAUUGAACUAGGUGAAUUAACUACAAAGACUACUAUUUGGUUACCUUUAUAGCUUACUUCACAUGACUCUUGGGUUAGUAAAAACUAUACAAAGUAUAUUUUCAUACAAUUUCUAUAGAAUAUUUUUGAGAAUAAUCUUAAUACAUUUUUCUAAUUCCUAUCUAUUUUUUUAAAUGCGUUAUUUGUAACUUUCACUUCGUGUGUGUUUGUGUGUGUGUGUGUGUGUGUGUGUGUAUGGAGACAGAAUUGACCCAGUUGUAGGUGAUAAUAGUUUAAAAUUGUGAAAUGCAUUUCUAAAACUUCGGGUCAAUGGAUUAAAUUAUUUGUAUUUCCAGUCACGUUAUACAUAUUAAAAAGAUAUAUUUUAAGAAUAAGACAUUUAUGUAUAAAAGGUCAUUUGUAACUCUAGACAUACAACCUACUUUUAAUGUAACUUUUUCAACUAUUUCAUGCUAAUAAAAGGUUUAUUUUGUUUUCAGUCAAAUGUCACAUAUAAACACAAACCACAUCAAUUGUGAUUAUAAAAGCACCUUGGAUCUGAUUUUACAAUGGUUACAAUGGAGCAUAACCUUUAUUAAAGUGGCUCACCUCAGGGGUCCUAUAAUCCCUGAUAUAAAUGCUGAGAUAUGCAAUUACUCAAGCUGGCUAGAGCCAGACCCCUUAGCCAGGUUAGAUGAAUAGGGUGGGGGAAGAAUAAAGAAAUAGAACACAGCCUUAUCCUGUUAUCCAGUUACAAAAUCAAAGAAAUACAUUUUCAAAAACAAAAGUUAGGUACAAUAAUUUUGAGUUCAUGUAAAAAUUCAUAUUUUUUUUAAAAAGCAUGUCUUAGUGAAUAAACAAUGAAUCAGAAGAUAGGACAUUGUUUUGGCUCUGGCCUUAAGUAGUUGUGAAAUCUGGAAAUAAAACUUUCUGGACAUUUUUUUAAAGACAGCAGCAGCAAUUAAGAAUUGACACAGAUUAUAAGACCCCUUGUUGGCUAUGACAUUCUAUCAUUCAAUUAUAUAUCUAUGAAAUAUACAACAUAAACACAUGUACUCUUUAUAUAUGUAUAAACAUAUUUUUAGAGUCAUAUUCAUACCUUUAUCUAAUAAGCAAAUUACUUAACCAGUAUAAGUUUUAUAUAUCAAUUUCAGACAGUACUUAAAUACAACUGCCAUUUUUCGUUAAGACUUGAAUUCUCUCUUAGAACUGCUUUUAGAAUGCAUUUCUCCAACUCUCCUUUGGCCAUGUCAAAUCUUCAUCCUUUAAAAUGGAAAUUCUGUGCAUUACAAUGAAUUCACAAAAUCCAUUUUAUUUAAUAACACUAGAGUACAAACUGAGUAACACUUUCAAAAACAAAACAGAAUAGGUAUCUUGAGCAAUUAUGCUAUCAUUGUAAUAAGUAAAGUCCUUUCCAAUGUGACCAAUUUGAAGGAUAACAUUCAUUUGGAACUACAAGUUUAAGUAUAUCUUUUAUUAAUGCUUAUUUCAAUGGAUAUGCACAUAAGGACAAUGAAGUUUAAUUAAUAUAUAUUAAAUAAAAUGGACAACUGCUUGCUUAUUUUCACAUUUGUAGAGACUGAGUUUUCACUUUUAAUAUCAAUAUGACAGAUUAACAAAAAAAUCGCAUUCUUCAGUUACCUGUCUCAAUUCAAUAUUUCUUGUUUACUGACCAAUGGAAUUUGUGGAUUGAGAAUUUAAAUAUUCAAGGUAUUGAAAUGAAAAACAUUUUAUUAUCAUCUUUAGUAUUAAAAUGAUUUUCCUCCAAGGAGUUAGUACAUUUUGGAAGAGAAAUGAUUGGAGAGAAAUGAGGUAGACAUUUGCCUUGCAUCUCUACUUUCUCUUUCAGGUGUUUAUAUCAGCCAUAUUUAAGAGUGGCAGUUUUAAGCCAACAACUCCAACAACUCAGACACCUGCCACUUUUGUAGAUAUUCAAAAUUGCUCACCUAAGAUAAAAAUAAUC